Molecule: ribosomal RNA, 201 nt
Filed under: uncultured bacterium
Lineage: Bacteria
Description: partial 16S ribosomal RNA
Rfam family: Bacterial small subunit ribosomal RNA
Source: RNAcentral
ACGCUCGACACCUACUGGAGGCAGCAGUCGGGAAUAUUGCGCAAUGGAGGAAACUCUGACGCAGUGACGCCGCGUGCAGGAAGAAGGUUUUCGGAUUGUAAACUGCUUUAGACAGGGAAGAAAGAAAUGACAGUACCUGUAGAAUAAGCUCCGGCUAACUACGUGCCAACAGCCGCGGUAAUCUGAGCGGGCUGGCAAGGC